Non-coding RNA from Tetranychus urticae (two-spotted spider mite), 2970 nucleotides. The record is from RefSeq and is a predicted model, not a curated record. NCBI's taxonomy places the organism in Eukaryota, Metazoa, Arthropoda, Arachnida, Trombidiformes, Tetranychidae.
AUUUGCAUUAGAACAAAAAGGAAGCGUGAAAAGAAUACGAAAAAAGUCAAAAAAAGAAAAGGUGAUUACAGUGAUAACAGACCCUUUUACCUUAGGCUAUACCUAACAGGGUAUUGCACCUGGACAGUUGACCCAGACAAAGGGUUUGACCAGUCAGCUUGGUGCCAUCAUUCAAAUAAUUGGUUAAAUGAAAAAUGAUGUUCAAGUAAAAAGUCAAAGAGAAACGGAAAAGUUGAAAAAAAUGCUCGGAAUGAGAAUCAGAUCAACUUUAAACAAAACUGUUGAUUUCAAGCCGUCAUCAUUGCCAUGAACAGUCAAUGAAUAAACUUUUGAUACAUUUGUCCAUGUAAACAUUGGAACAUUUUACAUAACGAUUUGAAUACACAAAAGCAACACCUUGUUAACAUGAUUACAUGAUGAUCAUCAUUCUCCAGAAACAAAGAUGUUCCCAUUGAGUUGAUCCAAUGAAUACUAAUGAUACGACAUUAUGAUAAUGGAGAGAAGAGUGAAAAGUUGAAUUUCAUCUGUAACCUGAAAAGGCAAGAGAAGCGUAAAAAAGGUUACAUGACACACAAGGCUUGCAAUGAGAUAGUAAAUUGAAAAAUUUAACCUUUCCAUUGAUGAUCAAUACGCGAAUUGAGUAAAUGAAAGAAAUGAUGAUGAUGAAUGAAUGAGGAAAGAUAAACUAAAGGAAUAACAGAUUCUGUGUUUGUUUGUUACCAAUGCAAAUAUUAAAAAUUUGUUUGUUUCUCUUGUAAAUAUUAGUACAGAUAUGCCUAGACUCACUCUUAAUCAUCUUCUCCUCAUCUUCUUAUUCAUCAUCAUUAUCAUCUUGGCGAAUCAAAAGGAAUGAUGAAGAUGAGAAUAAACAGUGGGAGGAAGGGGGAGAGGAGCAGGGAAAGUGAUUCAAGCAAAUUUACUUUGAUAAUAUUUAUUGAUCAUCAAAUUUAUCAAAGUGAAUGAGUGAGUAAAAGAGGGUGAGAGAGCGAGAGAGAGAAAAGAGUAAUUGAAAGUAAAGGUAAGAAUGUUUAAAGAGGAUAAAUCAAAAAGGGGAGUGAGGAGCUUGUUAGAUGAUGAGUGAGUAAGGUAAAGAGUGAGAGAGUAAACAAGUGUAAAUAUUUUCCAAAGUCUGUGACAAUAAAAAAAAGAAGAGAUGAGCUAUAAAAGGUCGAAGCUCAGUUGAAAUUUUGUCAUUCACUUGGAUCCAUUCACAGCAAUCAACGUUACAAAAAUUAAUCAACUUUUCAUUCAACUUUUCAUUCAACUUUGUUUCGCCGCUUCAAUCGAUUCCUAACCAACUUCAAAACCCUUUUUCAUAGUUGAUUAACCCGAACCUUUUUACCAAGUUUCCCAAGUUUCAACCUUUUUCAAUGUUGGCUAAAAGCAAAAAUUGGAAAAGAAAAUUUUCGAAAAACAAAAAUUCGAAAAACUGGAAAAUUUGAAAAAACAUUGUAUCAGUUUUACUCACGUGACUUGGAUUCUCUUCUUGCGCCACCUAUCGAUUGUCUAAAUUCCAGAAUUGUUAAUGUGAUUAAUGUCAAGCGCGCAUAUGGAGGUGGACAGUUUUUUCAUUGAAACUCAUUGCCACUGUUAAUCUUUUCGCGGUUCAACAUUUUCAAUGGUUAUUCAAUGGUUAAUCCAAUUAGCGAUUUACAUUCAAUGGAUAAAGUUCUGAAAUGCUUUUUACCGAUUUUCCUCUCUUUUCGCCUGUUCGCCCUCUUCUCCUACUUAAGCCAUCCAAAGGGCGAGUUAUUAACUUGAUCAUUCAUUGAUCAAUCUCUAGUGACUAUUACCAUUAUUAUCAAGUUAUCAAAUUAUUAUUCUUAUAACUGUUACUGUUGAUAAACAGGGGAAGAACAAGUUAUCAAGCAAAUUGAUGGAUAAAGUGACAAAUCAUUUUCACCAUUAUACGGUUAAUUAGAUUAACCAUGAAAGAUGAAAGAGAAAAGAUGAAAAGAUGAAAACCUGUGAUUUACAGUUUUUAUCAAGUGUUGAAACUGACAGGUUUAAUGUUCAAUUGUACAAUAUUAUUGAUGUUUAUAGAUGUUGAAAUGACAAGUGAAAAUGACAAGAAAAUGCUUCUCUCUUCAUGAACAUGAUAAUGGUUUGCUAUUUCACCAGAAAAUCUGUUGCAUUUACCAAUUCAAUCUAAUCUGAUAAUCAUCGAUUACUGUUCAACAUCAUUUCCUGAACAGAUUAACCUUUGUCCAGCUUUUUCCAGAUAAUUAUUUUUCUCUUUUUUCUUAUCAAUUGUUUCAAGUGUUUCACUCGGCCAACUUUUACCAGAUUAUUUAAACUAUUGAUAACAGAUUCAACUUGACCUUUGCCUGAAUUUGGCCAAGUUUCAGUUUGACAACAUGUUCUGAAAACAGAUUUUAUAGUUUGCCAGAAGAAAUUGUUUUUCUCUAUUUUCUCUUUUUUCUUCUUUCUUCUUGCAAAGUGUUGAUGUAAAAACAGGAAAAGGAAGGGAAUUAAUAAAGUGAUAAUAUUGUUUUCCAUGAUAACAACUGAGUAGAAUAACGAAAAAAAAUGUUCUCCAAAAGAGAAAAGCUUUUUUCUUCUUUUCUCAGUUUACAUUAUUUUCAUUCAAAGUUGUACCUAAGGUAAGCCUAUAACUUUCAUCCUCCUUUUCCUUGUCAUCCAAUCUUCAUCAUCUUCUCAUCUUGUUCAUCUUCUUCUAUAGAUUUAAUGCUGUCUGAAAAGAAAUCAGUUUGUCAUCUUGUUGACAUUCAUUUCUACUUAAUUCUGUUCCAUUUCCACUGAAUAAUCUGAUUUUUUGCUUCUUUCUUUUUUUCAGGGAAACUCUGAGUUUGCAAAAAGUUACCAGAAAAUAACUUGGACAUUUUCAUGGCUAAAAAUCAUUGCAAAAUCGUUUAUUCAUUUUGUAAAAAUGUCCAGUUUUCAAGUGCAAACCUAAAAGCCUUUCACACUUGAAGCAGAAAUAAAACAAAAAAUAUUUUUCUUGUUACA